UAGGGAAUCUUCCACAAUGGACGCAAGUCUGACGGAGCAACGCCGCGUGAGUGAAGAAGGUUUUCGGACCGUAAAGCUCUGUUGUUGGUGAAGAAGGAUAGAGGUAGUAACUGGCCUUUAUUUGACGGUAAUCAACCAGAAAGUCACGGCUAACUACGUGCCAGCAGCCGCGGUAAUACGUAGGUGGCAAGCGUUGUCCGGAUUUAUUGGGCGUAAAGCGAGCGCAGGCGGAAGAAUAAGUCUGAUGUGAAAGCCCUCGGCUUAACCGAGGAAUUGCAUCGGAAACUGUUUUCUUGAGUGCAGAAGAGGAGAGUAGAACUCCAUGUGUAGCGGUGGAAUGCGUAGAUAUAUGGAAGAAUACCAGUGGCGAAGGCGGCUCUCUGGUCUGCAACUGACGCUGAGGCUCGAAAGCAUGGGUAGCGAACAGGAUUAGAUACCCUGGUAGUCCAUGCCGUAAAACGAUGAGUGCUAAGUGUUGGGAGGCUUCCGCCUCUCAGUGCUGCAGCUAAACGCAUUAAGCACUCCGCCUGGGGGAGUACGACCGC
This 545-nucleotide ribosomal RNA is filed under the name uncultured bacterium. RNAcentral describes it as "partial 16S ribosomal RNA". It matches the Rfam family "Bacterial small subunit ribosomal RNA", at positions 355 to 889 of the family's 1533-position model. The record is from RNAcentral.